RNAcentral lists this long non-coding RNA (558 nucleotides) under Apteryx rowi (Okarito brown kiwi). RNAcentral describes it as "lncRNA (ENSARWG00000005071.1)". The record is from RNAcentral. Lineage: Eukaryota; Metazoa; Chordata; Aves; Apterygiformes; Apterygidae.
CUGGGGACAAAGGGGAAGGGAAAGCCCUCUGUGCAGGAAGGGCAAGCUGGUGUCUGGGGGAGGUGAGUGCUGGAGAGACCCUCAGCCCUUGACACGAUGUGUCCCCAUCCCUUGGCAGGUCAAGCAGGCUGUCCUCAGGGCGAUGGGUGCCAUGAUGGGUGUCUUCCUGCAUGUGGAGGAGCACCGCGAGCACACCUGGGAGCAGCUCCUUUGGCUAUCAAGUUGGGAGAGGACUGUGGAGGGGCUGAUGCCUUUGGGUGUACAAUGUCCUUAGGCAAGCAGUGCCUUAGAGGGAGAAAGCCAAGGCUCCAGUGGGCUGCAAGGCGUCCAAGAAGUCCAGGACGCCUUCAGGGUGACUAUGUCUCAGCUCUUUUCUGGAGGUCUUGGUGGGCAUUCAGACCCUUAUGCCCCAGGCCAAACUUCUGGCCAUCGGCACUGUUGUGCACUGGCAGAUCAAGCAGCCCAGUCCAGAACACAGAGCAGAACUGUGCUGCUGCAUCAUGCUGCAGGCCCGAAUUUGCCCAGAAGAGACAGUUGUGUUCCUCCAGCCUGAGCUGA